This is a long non-coding RNA of Ruditapes philippinarum (Manila clam), 443 nucleotides long. RefSeq lists it as uncharacterized. The record is from RefSeq and is a predicted model, not a curated record. Lineage: Eukaryota; Metazoa; Mollusca; Bivalvia; Venerida; Veneridae. The transcript has 3 exons.
CCGAGAUGAUGCGAUCGUUUCGAAAAUUUGGCGGAAACCCCCAAAAUGUUGCGAAAGUGACAGAAUUUGAUUGGCUGCAAAGCAAGCGCACGAUUUCCACGAUAAUUUUGUUUUCGUGUUAAUGUCUUGAGAGUCUUGAAAGCAUGACUUGAUUUGGCAGAAAUACUGGCCAUGUGACAGUGUGGGCCACGUGUUGAAGGUCAGGAACAGUGGCUCAGGAAGUAGCAAGCAUUUCUAUUCCAUUUCAAAGUUGGAGCAUAACACGAGCCAUUGAGCUGUUGAGUGUCACUGCCAGAUAUGGACUUGGCUUCAUGGCUAAUCUUUGAAUUCCAGGUGUGAAGAUGGUUCAGUCAGCUGACCAAAUUGUCAGCCUAUGAACUUUUGAAGAAUAAUGCUAGGGGAUUGCAUUCAUAAAUCAUCAGUUUGUCUGCAGAAAACGAUAU